CUCAACUCAUUUCAUUGGAGGAUGGCUAGAGCAAGCCUUCACAUGUUAGAAAUUUGCAAUAUUUGUAUAUUUUUGUAUGUAUUGUUGAUGAGGUAAAUAGUUUUUAUCAUUAUUAAUUAUUUUUUUAGUUAAUUAUUUUUGCUUAAAUUUAUACGACAAUCACAAAACCGCACACUAAGCCUUCACAAUAGUGGGACUUUUCAUUUUUCAUUAAACUCAAUUCAAAAUUACAGAGUAAUU
RNAcentral lists this unclassified non-coding RNA (240 nucleotides) under Hevea brasiliensis (rubber tree). The record is from RNAcentral. Lineage: Eukaryota; Viridiplantae; Streptophyta; Magnoliopsida; Malpighiales; Euphorbiaceae.